CCCUUAGAUGUUCUGGGCUGCACGCGUGUUACAAUCGGGAGUACAACAAGAUUGCAAAUCCUAGUGGAUGAGUGGUUCUUCGAAAUUUUCUGAAGACUGGGAUAGUUGAUUGAAAUUAUUCAACUCAAACGAGGAAUUCCUUGUAAUUGUAAUUCAUUAUAUUGUAAUGAAUACGUCCCUGCCCUUUGUACACACCGCCCGUCGCUCCUACCGAUUGAACGAUCCGGUGAAUUAUUUGGAGUAGCUCUGGAAGUUGCAGAACUUCCUAUGUCACGAAAUUUUGUAAACCUUAUCGUUUAGAGGAAGGAAAAGCCGUAACA
Molecule: ribosomal RNA, 320 nt
Filed under: uncultured eukaryote
Lineage: Eukaryota
Description: partial 18S ribosomal RNA
Rfam family: Eukaryotic small subunit ribosomal RNA
Source: RNAcentral